AGCAGCCGCGGUAAUUCCAGCUCCAAUAGCGUAUAUUAAAGUUGUUGCAGUUAAAAAGCUCGUAGUUGAAUUUCGGGGUCAGUACGUUGGUCGUGCCUUCGGUAUGUACUGGUGUCACUGAUUCCUCCCUUCUGAUGAACCGUUAUGCCAUUUAUUUGGUGUGGCGGGGAAUCAGGACUGUUACUUUGAAAAAAUUAGAGUGUUUAAAGCAGGCUCGCGCUUGAAUACAUUAGCAUGGAAUAAUGAAAUAGGACGUUUUGAUUCUAUUUUGUUGGUUUCUAGGAUCGACGUAAUGAUUAAUAGGGAUAGUUGGGGGCAUUAGUAUUCAAUUGUCAGAGGUGAAAUUCUUGGAUUUAUUGAAGACUAACUACUGCGAAAGCAUUUGCCAAGGAUGUUUUCAUUAAUCAAGAACGAAAGUUAGGGGAUCGAAGACGAUCAGAUACCGUCGUAGUCUUAACCAUAAACUAUGCCGACUAGGGAUCGGAUGAUGUAAUUUUUAAUGACUCAUUCGGCGCCUUAA
RNAcentral lists this ribosomal RNA (520 nucleotides) under uncultured Glomus. RNAcentral describes it as "SSU rRNA". It matches the Rfam family "Eukaryotic small subunit ribosomal RNA", at positions 569 to 1091 of the family's 1831-position model. The record is from RNAcentral. Lineage: Eukaryota; Fungi; Glomeromycota; Glomeromycetes; Glomerales; Glomeraceae.